Molecule: long non-coding RNA, 454 nt
Filed under: Dromaius novaehollandiae (emu)
Lineage: Eukaryota; Metazoa; Chordata; Aves; Casuariiformes; Dromaiidae
Description: lncRNA (ENSDNVG00000014675.1)
Source: RNAcentral
AAUGUGGGCUGUGACCCCAGAGGUGUGUCCUUCCAGCCGUCUUCUCCCUUCCAGCUGGCCAGGCAUGGGGUUCUGAAGCAUCAGGAACUGAACUUAGCUCCUAACUGGGCUGCUAUCACAGCGGUACUCUUUGUUCUGGGCUUCCUAAUUGUGGUGUUGACAACCCUGGCUAUUGUGCUCCAGCCCCCCAUCCCCACCCUUAGCCCCCUGAAGAGCUGGAAGCCACGAUGGAGGAGCCUGGGUGAGCCACACAUCCCACCAGAGUACAUCUUCCUUAAAGACAGCCUUCAGUUCUAUCAGGUGCUUGGUCCACAUGGUUCUGGAGAAGAGGCUGACUUUGGAGAGAAAGGAGCUGCACAGAAUACAGAAGAGCAUUUUACACUGCGAGAUCUGGAGGAUUUCAGUAUUCGCACCGUGUAUGAUAAGCUAGAAGACCAGAGUUUGCACCUCGCAU